This 253-nucleotide ribosomal RNA is filed under the name uncultured bacterium. RNAcentral's name for it is "partial 16S ribosomal RNA". It matches the Rfam family "Bacterial small subunit ribosomal RNA", at positions 524 to 776 of the family's 1533-position model. The record is from RNAcentral.
UACGUAGGGUCCGAGCGUUGUCCGGAUUUAUUGGGCGUAAAGAGCUCGUAGGCGGUCUGUUGCGUCGGCUGUGAAAACCCGGGGCUCAACUCCGGGCCUGCAGCCGAUACGGGCAGACUAGAGUUCGGCAGGGGAGACUGGAAUUCCUGGUGUAGCGGUGAAAUGCGCAGAUAUCAGGAGGAACACCGGUGGCGAAGGCGGGUCUCUGGGCCGAUACUGACGCUGAGGAGCGAAAGCGUGGGGAGCGAACAGG